CAACUCCAAUCUUCAUCAAUUCUGCAAAUACUUCUUGCUCUGAGUAAACACGGGGGCGUCCUCUUUCUGCAAUAAUGUUCCCCUCCCUAAUUGCAUCUGCAACAUCUUUAAUUGCUUCCCUUAUGUUUUUAAACUCUCUCUCAAACAUAUCAACUUUUGGAGCCAUCCGUUUUUUGCCUUUCAGUGAUGUUGCAGACUGUGAAUGUGCUUGAGAAUCUGCCUGAGAAUUUGCUUCAACAGGAG
Molecule: unclassified non-coding RNA, 243 nt
Filed under: Hevea brasiliensis (rubber tree)
Lineage: Eukaryota; Viridiplantae; Streptophyta; Magnoliopsida; Malpighiales; Euphorbiaceae
Source: RNAcentral